AGAGUUUGAUCAUGGCUCAGGAUGAACGCUAGCUACAGGCUUAACACAUGCAAGUCGAGGGGAAACGACAUCGAAAGCUUGCUUUUGAUGGGCGUCGACCGGCGCACGGGUGAGUAACGCGUAUCCAACCUGCCCACCACUUGGGGAUAACCUUGCGAAAGUAAGACUAAUACCCAAUGACGUCUCUAGAAGACAUCUGAAAGAGAUUAAAGAUUUAUCGGUGAUGGAUGGGGAUGCGUCUGAUUAGCUUGUUGCGGGGUAACGCCACAAGGCGACGAUCAGUAGGGGUUCUGAGAGGAAGGUCCCCCACAUUGGAACUGAGACACGGUCAAACUCGGACGGAGGCA
This 347-nucleotide ribosomal RNA is filed under the name uncultured bacterium. RNAcentral describes it as "bacterial SSU rRNA". It matches the Rfam family "Bacterial small subunit ribosomal RNA", at positions 8 to 350 of the family's 1533-position model. The record is from RNAcentral.